GUNNCNNCGCGUCUUAUACAUGAAAGUCGAACGGAGCGUACCGAGNCGAACCUUUCGGGGGGAGACAUGGUAUUGCAAGAGGCGAACGGGUGAGUAACACGUGAGUAACCUACCUCCGAGCGGGGGACAACAUUUGGAAACAGAUGCUAAUACCGCAUAAGACCACGAAGCCGCAUGGCUUUGAGGCCAAAGCAUUUAUGCACUUGGAGAUGGACUCGCGUCUGAUUAGCUAGAUGGUGAGGUAAUGGCCCACCAUGGCGACGAUCAGUAGCCGGACUGAGAGAUUGAACGGCCACAUUGGGACUGAGACACGGCCCAGACUCCUACGGGAGGCAGCAGUGGGGAAUAUUGCACAGUGGGCGAAAGCCUGAUGCAGCGACGCCGCGUGAGGGAAGAAGGUUUUCGGAUUGUAAACCUCUGUCUUCGGGGACGAAACAAAUGACGGUACCCGAGGAGGAAGCCACGGCUAACUACGUGCCAGCAGCCGCGGUAAAACGUAGGUGGCAAGCGUUGUCCGGAAUUACUGGGUGUAAAGGGAGCGCAGGCGGGAUGGCAAGUUGAAUGUGAAAACUAUGGGCUCAACCCAUAGACUGCGUUCAAAACUGCUGUUCUUGAGUGAUGGAGAGGCAGGCGGAAUUCCCGGUGUAGCGGUGGAAUGCGUAGAUAUCGGGAGGAACACCAGUGGCGAAGGCGGCCUGCUGGACAUUAACUGACGCUGAGGCUCGAAAGUGUGGGGAGCAAACAGGAUUAGAUACCCUGGUAGUCCACACUGUAAACGAUGAUUACUAGGUGUGGGGGGAUAGACCCCCUCCGUGCCGCAGCUAACGCAAUAAGUAAUCCACCUGGGGAGUACGGUCGCAAGACUGAAACUCAAAGGAAUUGACGGGGCCCGCACAAGCAGUGGAGUAUGUGGUUUAAUUCGACGCAACGCGAAGAACCUU
Molecule: ribosomal RNA, 941 nt
Filed under: uncultured bacterium
Lineage: Bacteria
Description: bacterial SSU rRNA
Rfam family: Bacterial small subunit ribosomal RNA
Source: RNAcentral